RNAcentral lists this small RNA (825 nucleotides) under uncultured Actinomycetes bacterium. Its description in RNAcentral is "bacterial SSU rRNA". The stretch from base 1 to 474 matches the Rfam family "Bacterial small subunit ribosomal RNA", at positions 1064 to 1533 of the family's 1533-position model. Lineage: Bacteria; Bacillati; Actinomycetota; Actinomycetes. The record is from RNAcentral.
GUCGUGAGAUGUUGGGUUAAGUCCCGCAACGAGCGCAACCCUUGUCCUAUGUUGCCAGCGGGUAAUGCCGGGGACUCGUAGGAGACUGCCGGGGUCAACUCGGAGGAAGGUGGGGACGACGUCAAGUCAUCAUGCCCCUUACGUCCAGGGCUGCACACAUGCUACAAUGGCCAGUACAAAGGGCUGCUAUCCCGCGAGGGUGAGCGAAUCCCAAAAAGCUGGUCUCAGUUCGGAUUGCAGUCUGCAACUCGACUGCAUGAAGUCGGAGUCGCUAGUAAUCCCGGAUCAGCAACGCCGGGGUGAAUACGUUCCCGGGCCUUGUACACACCGCCCGUCAAACCACGAAAGUCGGCAACACCCGAAGCCGGUCACCCAACCACUUUGUGGAGGGAGCCGUCGAAGGUGGGGUCGGUAAUUGGGGUUAAGUCGUAACAAGGUAGCCGUACCGGAAGGUGCGGCUGGAUCACCUCCUUUCUAAGGAGUUCCUGCAGUUCUUUCUUGAGCUUUUUGCUCUUGGGAGGCUGCGAACUUCCAGUCGAUCACUGGUUAUUCGGCGUUCUCGUCUUAUCUGGUACCUGAGGUGCUUGAGAGCUUGCUCUCUUGUCCCCGACCAGGUGAACGAGUUCGGCGGACUGUUCCUCUUCCGUUUUCAGGGAGUGGCGCGAGCGAGCGUGCCCCUUGAGAACUCCAUAGCGAGCACGAGCAUCUAAUUCUCCAAGCUACAAAGAGCCAACGGUGGAUGCCUUGGCGCCUGAAGCCGAUGAAGGGCGUGGUAAGCUGCGAUAAGCCUGGGGGAGCUGCAUACGAGCUAUGAUCUCAGGAUGC